Molecule: long non-coding RNA, 2442 nt
Organism: Cyprinus carpio carpio
Lineage: Eukaryota; Metazoa; Chordata; Actinopteri; Cypriniformes; Cyprinidae
Source: Ensembl
GUCAAAUUUGAGGUAAGGUGGGUUAAAUGAGGAGAAACUCUGAGCGAGCUCAAGCCCACACAGCCGAAAUAGAGGUAUUUUUAGAUUUAGCGGAGGGUGCAAACGUCCAGCUUCAUUGUCAGAUCAAAGCCUCCACUUAUGGCACUCCUGGCAGAACACUGAUGUAUUUUAAGGGAAACAUGAUGACAAAUGUUAUAUUUACGCCCUUGAUCUAAAUAUUUACCUAUUUUCAGUUCCCCCCACACAACUCGUCACCGCCCGCUCAUUAACGAUCCUCCCAUUUUAGCAGCAGGAGUCCGACAACACUCCGGAACAUCCCGUGUUUCGCGAAGCCUAGGGCUUCCUGCACUGGGCAGGACAGAACUUGAGGCAUCCACCGUGUCAAGUACAGAGGGUGAAUGAACGCUCGACUCACAGAACGAUCCCAGACGGUGUUGCUCGUGACAAAAUCUGCUGAUGAUUGGAGGUCUAUGGAAAAGUGAGAUGUGAAGCGAACUGGCUGUAUUCCUCAUGGAAGCAGAGGAAAGGCUGACAGGCAUGGAAGAUGAUGGAAGAAAAAGGAGGGGUUUACCAAUAAAUAAGGAUACAAAUAUGGGAAAACGUUACCUUGUAUCCUGCACACAAGAUCAACGUCGAACCAACGUCUGUUAGACUGCUGUACACCUGUAAAUGGAUAUUAAGCAAGUUGAUUACUUUGUAGGAACAACAUAACAUCGUCAGGUAUUUGCAAUAUCUGUCUGUAAACUACCUGGGUUUAAUAAAUGAGCCGGACUUGCUUACGUGUCACGUGCACACGUGAGACUCAUGAGCUGCGAGACGUAAGGAAAUAUGACAAUGAUGUAGUACGUAUUUGAGCUUAAAAAAUGUUUACUUGCACAUAAAACCAUGUAUAGAUACAUUUGUUGUAAUUAUUUACCUUAAUUAGUGAAAUUGUGUAGACGAGAUGCACAUGAACGCUUGUGUUGAGUCGUGUUGCUUUAGUUCUCAAAGACAUGAAGGCAAACACAUACUGAUUUAAUCUUAUUUGUUCUAAUUAAAUCAUAGCCUAUAUGUAGCUUCAAAUGGAUUUGUUGUGACUGUGAUAAUAAGAACUUGUGCGUAACGCGAGCGUCUGCAGACUUGUGUGAAAAUUACAGGCGCGAGUUUUAGCUUGUGGUGCUUUAUAAUUGUUAGGGUUACAUAUUCGUGAGAUCUUAAUAGCUUGUUUAACAUGUUGAAUGGAGCUGCAGACGGAGAGUUGGAGCUGUCAGGCGUUUUCUGUGCACGCUCUGCUGCUGCUGACGUAUCACUCCCACGGCCCAAGUGAGUUUAGGACUCAAAUAAUGCUGUGUUCUAUUAGUUCUUUAGCUAAAUAUGUUUAUUAUAUCGUAUAUGUGUAAUAAGGUUUCAUAACUAGUGUUUAGGGAGCAUUUUGAACACAGUAAAUGUGAAAUAUGACUUGUUGGGACUGGGAGUUAUCAAAGGGUCAAAUGGGUUGGGUCCUGCGGGGGGGCGGGGGGGGGGGGUAUGAUGUCGAAAUUAUAUGUUUUAAAGUUUGUCUAAGCAAAAGAUAAUUAAGUAAAAUAUCUAUAUUUUGCAUCAGUUAUUAUUUUGUAGUAUAUAAAUUACAAAAAAAUAAAUAUAAUAACUGAUAAUGCACUAUGUAGCCUAGCUAUCGGAUUGCUUGUGCCUUACGUAACUUUUAUUUUUAUUGCUUCAUAAUUAUAGUAUUUUCUGCUUUGCUGUUACUGUAUAUCAUACAACCCAAAACGUGCUUAACAGUUUGAGCUGAACUGAGUAAUUUGAGUAAAGUGUGGUUGCUGCAGUGUGCACGACGUGAGAGCGUAACGUGCGAGUUCUGCAUUUCUGAGUAUUUGAAUGACAUUUCUGUAUAGUGCACAGAGAAAAAUAUGCUGCAUUAACUAUUCGACCCUGACUAAUUGUUUAGCUAUUUCAUUACAUGAAACAAGAUGUGCAUGUGGUGUGAGAAAUAUGUGAUUUGAUUAUGUUGCAAAAUCUAAAAGCUGGAAGUUUGUCGUUCAGGUGACAAAGAAAAAAAAAAUGACUCACGUAUUUUGUAAUCAAACUGCUGGCUUUCUGUAUUCUCUAUUACAUGUCAGAGAAAAUAAAAUGUUUGGAGUUAUUUUAGAGUCUGCUUGCUUAUUUGUAUGUUUUUAAGUGUGGGGGGAUCUGGAAAAUGAACACUAUGGCUACUAUAUGUGACGUGCUGAAAACACUUGUGUGUGUUUAGAGCCUGUAGGAUAUAUAAAAUAAAAAAGUCAAAUGUAGCGCGAGGGAGGCAAUGCAUAGAAAGAAAGGUUUCCACAGCCAGAGUAGCCUAUCUUACAAUUAAAAUUACAGACAUUAAAAUGUUUUUCUUGACGACGCCAAUGCUUUUUUCUACUAAACAGCAUGUGGUUUACAUGUUACGUGUGUUACUUGAAUUAUUCACGCAUCGGUGGG